Molecule: long non-coding RNA, 4534 nt
Filed under: Volvox carteri
Lineage: Eukaryota; Viridiplantae; Chlorophyta; Chlorophyceae; Chlamydomonadales; Volvocaceae
Description: long non-coding RNA (VCAR_LNC003340)
Source: RNAcentral
UCGUAUAAUACGUGUACACCUAACUGGCCUAUAUACCUUUCACCUAUUUUCCCGAAUAUCUCGCCUAUACAAUGCCCGAAAAAAUACAGACGUAGCGCGGGAAGCAUCGUUCGCCAAUAUUAAUUAAAGGCCUCUAACACUGCAGGAAAAUUUUAGUAGAAGAUUUAGAACUAUGUAUGUAUUUAGUUUUAGCGUUUGUUCCUGCUUUGAGGGCGUGAAAUGCCGUGUCAUUGUCCCUAAUAAGUCAUUGUCCCGGCAUUUCAAUUGUCGCCCAUAAGCAUGAACCAGGCCACCAACUCACAAGCUUACAUGCAACAACUAAAACCAGGCAAUACUAGCUACGCAAGCUAUGCUAGGACAAACUUUUGAGACGACCAGAGCAACAUGAAGUGGUGUCAAGCCGAUGUCCCCAAGCAACUGCUUUGCAUCCAUGUCACUAGAUUGGCGCAAUAGGUUGACAAGGUCGUCCAUAUGGCACCUUUCCUUGGACAAGGCAUCCUCCAAUUGGCGCGUGCACGCGGUAAAUUGACUUAGAUUGUUUGCCCUGGCAAACUUAUGUACUCCAAACUCAUCCACUGGACGAUGCUGGCUGUAUUUCUUGCGUGGGCGAUCUUGUCGCCGACGGGCGAUGUUGUCCAGGGCGUUCCGGUCAAACUCGUAGGCGCCGACCUCAUUACCGUUGUCCAUGGACAUUGUGUUGGAAGGAUACGUUAAGGUUCAGAUAAAAUGAAGAAAUGAAGAAGCGCUCCUUCAUAGUAUGGAGAUGGUAGAAUCUUCAAGCAACUUUUGAACGACCAGGGAGAGUUGCUGAUAGGCGAAUUUGCAUGAAGCUGUAGAAUUCCUUUAUUCUUUCAAGGUAAAUGAAUGCUUAUGUAUUCGUCCGUUAGUAGCGUGAAGCUUUGAACACUCUUUGUACGGCAGAUUCGGCACAAUGUUUUGCCUCAUUGCGAUGUUGCCUGAAAAUUUUGAACAGAAGGGAUCACUGCUCAUGCUGGUGCAGCAAGACAUGUAAGGAGAUGGCCUGGUCACAAUCCAGCAGUCAUAUAUCGACAAUCUCAAGCUAUGACAACUUGUUACAUGUGUCUGUAAUAAAAAAGGGACUUUGCGAUGGUGUGGGGAGCUCUUUGAGUGGUGGGACUNNNNNNNNNNNNNNNNNNNNNNNNNNNNNNNNNNNNNNNNNNNNNNNNNNUAGAUUUUUAUGCCGCUACCGCCUAACCCACGUUGCACGUAUCAACGUACCUGUGUACCAGAGAGCACAGGUACUCAGGGACAAGAAACAUGCCAUCGGCCGGUCAGGUCUCAGCCUUCCUUGGAUACAGGCCAUGGAAAAGGUUAAGAAUCUGCAAGGUCGGUGUAUGCAAGCUUGUAUUUUCCCAAAAUGUUGACCCAAUGGCAUCACACUAUAUGCAUGUCUUGCAUUUUUUUGCAAACAGAUGAAGCAGCCUGGGGCAUGGAGGGUGCAAAGUACCUGCAGCAGUGCCUUACAGAGCAGCUGGUGGCUGCCUGGGGCCCCAGGCAGCCCCCAGACACCCCCGGGGGUGUCUGCACAGGAUCUGGAUCAUGCCAAGGUAGGCUCGCUGGUUACAUAGGUUAAUGAUACAGUGCUAGCAGGUUUAGCAGUGAUAAUUUAGCUAGUUGUUGACUAUGCUAUGCAUGUGAACUUCACACUUGUAGGUUGUCAUCAGGCGUAUGGGAUGUCUUUACUACGCCCCACUUCACACCGUCACUUACAUCCGUGGUGGCGGCCUGGCUAAGUCCCUUUUCAAGACCCAGGCAUGCCCAGUGUGCGACAUUUCAAUCCUGAACAACGACACCCCAGGGGGCUAUGGUGUGUGGUACGGACGGGUAGGCAAAUGGAGGUUUGGUUUCCAUUCGUUGUGUGUAUGUACUUCAGUUCUCUGGAGUUUGCUCAUAUGUGCAUGGCCCUUGUGUGCAGGUGCAGCUACUGCUCAGCGUACUCUACAAAGACAAGGUAGCAGAUGUGGUGUAUGUUAAGUGGUUUGAGACCUGCAGCACUCCGACAAACUCGAACAGAAAACCGCACAGCAUGCACGGCUAACAGAGGAACUCACGAAAGCAGGCUGGACGGUGCACUACACCGAGGCGCAAAUUGUCACCCUGGGAAGUACUGGGACUCUAACCAACACACUAAAACCGCUACUAUGCAGACUCGGCUCGUCCGCUGAGCAGGCCCAGAAGACCUGCCUGCACCUCCACCGGCAAACAAUCGAAGCAGCGGGCACGAUUAUCCGGGCGCGGCGAGUAAUGGAGGGUACAGUCAAGUAACAGGUACAACCCGAACGGUUUCCCACGGUGGUGCGGGCAUACAGGAGCGGCUACGCCGCCCCUCAGUUCCCCACCCCCUUAACACACGCCAGGCCCCGGCCGGCGUACUAUUAUUAUUAUUAUUAUUAUUAAGUGGUUUGAUGCUCCAGAAGAUGAAUGGAACCGUGAACUGAAUCUCCGUCCGCUGCGAUGGCAGAGGUAAUAAAAGUAGUUUACACACAGUCGUAAUUUCAGUUGUAUACCUCCCUCUCUUGCACUAACACUAACCAUUGAUUGUCCACACAACCUCACUUCCAGGGUGACUGGAAAACCAGCAGCAGCUUAUGGGUGUAUCCCAUUUGAGACCAUUAUCAAGAGAGUGUGCAUUGUUCGGAUCUCCCAAGUUAAAGUCAAACGUACACGUGGUUCCUCCAGCAGAAGCAUGGAUGAUGUGGAAGAGUCCAUGGGCAAUCCAGUUCCCACAGCACAAUUUGUGCUCAACGAGCUCAAUGGCGGCCCACCCCAUGGCCUUUUGCCAGUCGUGUUGGAGGAUAUUGCUGAAGAAGUCAGGCAGCAGUCUCAAGAGAGUGAAAAGCGAAGCUUGCGCCCAUCAGAAGUGCGGGCACUAUUGGACAAGCUUAUGGCCAUCGAGGAAUGGGAGCAAUGGGAGUCUGGUUGCGUGUGGUCAAAAGAUGAUGACACAGAUGAAGUUUCAUCAGACGAGGCGUAGCAAAGACGUCCUGGAUAAUAACGACCGGGUAGAGGAGGAUUGAUCAAUUGGGGCUCAUGGGAGUAGGAAAUGACUGUUUGUGUUGUGCUGAUAGUGUCAGAGAAUUUAUUCUGUUAAGUGUUUUGGUUGUGUUUUGGAGUUGCAGCAUUAAUAGGCCAGAUAACAUGUGGAUUAUUCAUUUAGUAAAGCAGACUGAGGGAUUGUGGGCUGAGAGCUGAGAUUCCUUGUGUGAUGUGUGAUAGUAACGUAUGAAGAGUAUGUGAAAAUUGUAAUCCCCUGAGCUUCUAUGCAUCCCAUAUAUUUCUGUACACAAAUGACACAUGUAAACAACAUCCUGGCAAGUAUACAGNNNNNNNNNNNNNNNNNNNNNNNNNNNNNNNNNNNNNNNNNNNNNNNNNNAUCACAUGUAGACACAUCUGUAUACCAGUCAUGUUUACCACAUAGCCUAAACAAGGUCAGGUAUAGGCUGUCAUGUAAAGGCCAUUGCAUAUUACGUGAUGCCUAUAGCGGUCUUGUAAUAGGCGCUCAUGUACACACGCAGCUGUAUAGGCACUGUUGUUUACAACAUUACCUGUAGACGCAUGCAUAUACCUGGCAAGUAUACACCACAGCCUAAACAAGGUCAGGUAUAGGCUGUCAUGUAAAGGCCAUUGCAUAUUACGUGAUGCCUAUAGCGGUCUUGUAAUAGGCGCUCAUGUACACACGCACCUGUAUAGGCACUGUUGUUUACAACAUCACGUGUACACAUAUCUGUAUAGCUUGGAAGUAUACCGCAUAGCAUAAAGAAGGUCAGGUAUUCUACAUAUAUACAGGGUCCUCUAUUAGGCAAACAUGUACAUAUGUCCCUCUUUAGGUCUGGGCCUUUAUUUCUCGUAUAAUACGUGUACACCUAACUGGCCUAUAUACCUUUCACCUAUUUUCCCGAAUAUCUCGCCUAUACAAUGCCCGAAAAAAUACAGACGUAGCGCGGGAAGCAUCGUUCGCCAAUAUUAAUUAAAGGCCUCUAACACUGCAGGAAAAUUUUAGUAGAAGAUUUAGAACUAUGUAUGUAUUUAGUUUUAGCGUUUGUUCCUGCUUUGAGGGCGUGAAAUGCCGUGUCAUUGUCCCUAAUAAGUCAUUGUCCCGGCAUUUCAAUUGUCGCCCAUAAGCAUGAACCAGGCCACCAACUCACAAGCUUACAUGCAACAACUAAAACCAGGCAAUACUAGCUACGCAAGCUAUGCUAGGACAAACUUUUGAGACGACCAGAGCAACAUGAAGUGGUGUCAAGCCGAUGUCCCCAAGCAACUGCUUUGCAUCCAUGUCACUAGAUUGGCGCAAUAGGUUGACAAGGUCGUCCAUAUGGCACCUUUCCUUGGACAAGGCAUCCUCCAAUUGGCGCGUGCACGCGGUAAAUUGACUUAGAUUGUUUGCCCUGGCAAACUUAUGUACUCCAAACUCAUCCACUGGACGAUGCUGGCUGUAUUUCUUGCGUGGGCGAUCUUGUCGCCGACGGGCGAUGUUGUCCAGGGCGUUCCGGUCAAACUCGUAGGCGCCGAC